GAUGAACGCUGGCGGCGUGCUUAACACAUGCAAGUCGAACGGAAAGGCUCCUGCUUGCAGGGGUACUCGAGUGGCGAACGGGUGAGUAACACGUGGGUGAUCUGCCCUGCACUUCGGGAUAAGCCUGGGAAACUGUGUCUAAUACCGGAUAGGACGAUGGUUUGGAUGCCAUUGUGGAAAGUUUUUCGGUGUGGGAUGAGCUCGCGGCCUAUCAGCUUGUUGGUGGGGUAAUGGCCUACCAAGGCGUCGACGGGUAGCCGGCCUGAGAGGGUGUACGGCCACAUUGGGACUGAGAUACGGCCCAGACUCCUACGGGAGGCAGCAGUGGGGAAUAUUGCACAAUGGGCGCAAGCCUGAUGCAGCGACGCCGCGUGGGGGAUGACGGCCUUCGGGUUGUAAACUCCUUUCGUCAGGGACGAAGCGAAAGUGACGGUACCUGGAGAAGAAGCACCGGCUAACUACGUG
Molecule: ribosomal RNA, 465 nt
Filed under: uncultured bacterium
Lineage: Bacteria
Description: partial 16S ribosomal RNA
Rfam family: Bacterial small subunit ribosomal RNA
Source: RNAcentral